AACGAACGCUGGCGGCGCGCCUAACACAUGCAAGUCGAACGAGAAGCUGUAGCAAUACAGUUGUACAGUGGCGAACGGGUGAGGAAUACAUGGGUGACCCACCCUCGAGUGGGGAAUAACCAGCCGAAAGGUUAGCUAAUACCGCGUACGCUCCUUGGACUUCGGUUCAGGGAGGAAAGCGAUACCGCGGGUAUCGCGCUCUUGGAUGGGCUCAUGUCCUAUCAGCUGUUGGUGAGGUAACGGCUCACCAAGGCUUCGACGGGUAGCUGGUCUGAGAGGACGAUCAGCCACACUGGCACUGCGACACGGGCCAGACUCCUACGGGAGGCAGCAGUAAGGAAUAUUGCGCAAUGGGCGAAAGCCUGACGCAGCGACGCCGCGGUGGGGGA
Molecule: ribosomal RNA, 389 nt
Filed under: uncultured bacterium
Lineage: Bacteria
Description: bacterial SSU rRNA
Rfam family: Bacterial small subunit ribosomal RNA
Source: RNAcentral